Oryza glumipatula is the source of this 192-nucleotide non-coding RNA. The record is from Rfam. NCBI's taxonomy places the organism in Eukaryota, Viridiplantae, Streptophyta, Magnoliopsida, Poales, Poaceae.
UUUAAACACAAUCAUGAGUUUUGGUGUUCAACGUUGAUCGUUCGUCUUAUUUUAAUUUCUUUUAUAAUUAGUACUUUUUUUAUUAUUAUUAUAUGAUAAAACAUAAAUAAUAUUUUUCUUAAUAUUUUUAUAAAAUAUUUAAAUAAGACGGACGAUUAAAAUUGGACACAGGAACUCGUGUCUGCACUUAAA